Molecule: ribosomal RNA, 231 nt
Filed under: uncultured bacterium
Lineage: Bacteria
Description: partial 16S ribosomal RNA
Rfam family: Bacterial small subunit ribosomal RNA
Source: RNAcentral
AAUGAACGCUGGCGGCGCGCCUAAUACAUGCAAGUCGAGCGAGAAGACGUAGCAAUACGUUUGUAAAGCGGCGAACGGGUGAGGAAUACAUGGGUAACCUACCCUCGAGUGGGGAAUAACUAGCCGAAAGGUUAGCUAAUACCGCGUACGCUCCUUGGACUUCGGUUCAGGGAGGAAAGCGAUACCGUGGGUAUCGCGCUCUUGGAUGGGCUCAUGUCCUAUCAGCUUGUU